UACAGGACAGUGGCGGAUGGGUGAGUAACGCGUAAGAAACCUGCCUUUCACACCGGGAUAGCAGCUGGAAACGGCUAUUAAUACCGGAUGACACUUUUUCCCCGCAUGAGGAAGAGGUUAAAGAAUUUCGGUGAAAGAUGGUCUUGCGUCUGAUUAGCUAGUUGGUGGGGUAACGGCCUACCAAGGCGACGAUCAGUAGCCGGCCUGAGAGGGUGUACGGCCACAUUGGGACUGAGACACGGCCCAAACUCCUACGGGAGGCAGCAGUGGGGAAUUUUGCACAAUGGAGGAAACUCUGAUGCAGCGACGCCGCGUGAACGAAGAAGGUCUUCGGAUUGUAAAGUUCUGUCCUGGGUGAAGAUAAUGACGGUAACUCAGGAGGAAGCCCCGGCUAACUACGUGCCAGCAGCCGCGGUAAUACGUAGGGGGCGAGCGUUGUUCGGAAUUAUUGGGCGUAAAGGGUACGUAGGCGGUUUGUUAAGUUUGGCGUUAAAUCACGGGGCUCAACCCCGUUCAGCGUUGAAAACUGGCAAACUUGAGUAGUAGGGGGGACAGUGGAAUUCCUAGUGUAGCGGUGAAAUGCGUAGAGAUUAGGAAGAAUAACCGGUGGCGAAGGCGACUGUCUGGAUACAUA
This 634-nucleotide ribosomal RNA is filed under the name uncultured Clostridium sp. RNAcentral describes it as "bacterial SSU rRNA". It matches the Rfam family "Bacterial small subunit ribosomal RNA", at positions 86 to 739 of the family's 1533-position model. The record is from RNAcentral. Lineage: Bacteria; Bacillati; Bacillota; Clostridia; Eubacteriales; Clostridiaceae.